This is a long non-coding RNA of Xiphias gladius (swordfish), 1515 nucleotides long. RefSeq lists it as uncharacterized. The record is from RefSeq and is a predicted model, not a curated record. NCBI's taxonomy places the organism in Eukaryota, Metazoa, Chordata, Actinopteri, Istiophoriformes, Xiphiidae. The transcript has 4 exons.
CGGGAAGGAAACACCAGCAGACCCGUCCAACUCCCGGCAAACCGAAAGCGACGGCGCUAAAUAAGGCGCCCAUCAUCCCACUCACUUGAUGAAGAAGACCCUGCCGUCCCCGCAGACACCGUAGGACCAGCGCUCAGUUGGCGGCGUGUAGUUUGGAGGCACCUCAACAGAAACAAAAGGAACUCCUGACAAGGCAGAGCGAGCUGAAGGCCAGAGGAGAGGAAACACUACACCUAAUCAAACUCUACACUGUGUUUAGCCCGUCUGGGUGUUGGUCAGACACACUAAUCCUCAUGAGUUGAUGCUGGAAACGAUAAAUGGCCACCGCUACUUACUACUACUACUUCUCAUACGUUACAUGAGUCACAGUUUUGGGGAAGUAAUGGUUCCGGAUUACAAUGUUAGUGGGCAUUCCUUCACUUGAAUUAAUGUUUUCAUUAUUUCUCUUAGAGUGAAACUAAAUCACUCCUUCUUUUUAUGAGGGCCUGCGGAGCCACCUGAAGUCCCCUCCAGGGACGCCGAAGUCCGCUUGGUUAAUCGCUGAGCCGGACCAGCUGAGAAAAACCCACUGCCUCUGCUGCUGCUCUGCUGCCGAUUCUUCCGUUGCUGCAAUCACCUGCAAUCCUUUCAACGCCUCGCCGCUCCCGCCAGUUGCUUGGAGACGGGGUCGUCUAGGCCACAGGGCUGAUGAUACUUGGAGAGGAGGAAGAGGAGGAAGACGGAGACGAAUGCGCAGAGAGGGAGGAGUGGGCUCGAAAAAGAAAAGAAAGGAAAAGGAGGAGGGAGGGCAAAAUUGGGUGCAGUAACGGGAAAUCUUUUGGUUCGAUGGCUGUAAAUAACAUAUUUAUGAUGCAAGAAAAGCUCUAAAAACAUCAAUGGUGAAAUAAUUUCAGGUUGUCAACAAAUCAGAGACCAAAAGCUAGCAAACAAAAUUUAUUUAUACAGGAUGUUGUAUCUGUUCUCACUGUAAUUAAAUAGGAUCCAGACUUUUGGAUUAUUGAAAACUGUUCCUUGAAAAUAGUUUCCUCGCCUCAUAACGGAGCAAAUAUCUCCCUGGUGCUGUAAAAAAAAAAAACUGAAGGCUGUUGAAAGGUUGAAAGGUUUCUACACAGACGCUUCAUGAUGCCGUGAAGUACAUAAAAUGAUUCAAGCCGCUGAUAUUACAGAGUAACCAAACUGAAAUCUUUUCACACAUUGAUCCAUUUUGACUAAAUCCAGUUGUUAUUUUUCUCUGUGUGCAAGGUCAGCAGGAGAUCAGUUUUAAAUGAACAACAUGUGGGUGGGAGGGCGGUGGGACAACAUCAGCAAAAGACCCACCGCCUGGUUGAUACAGCAACAGUGUCAGCGAUUGCUCACCUUUGCACCAUGCUCGGCGUGUGUGUUUGGGGGGGGUGUGGGCAGCAGAGACCUCCUAAUUGAUUUCAUCCCUCAGGAAAGUCAUUUCAUCAUACUUGGUGUUUUUAACCCUUGUCUUACGACAGCCUUACAGCACUCAGUCUGCAUGGAGACUCACCG